This 403-nucleotide ribosomal RNA is filed under the name uncultured bacterium. Its description in RNAcentral is "partial 16S ribosomal RNA". It matches the Rfam family "Bacterial small subunit ribosomal RNA", at positions 28 to 526 of the family's 1533-position model. The record is from RNAcentral.
GACGAACGCUGGCGGCGUGCCUAAUACAUGCAAGUCGAACGCAGUGGGGACGGGUGAGUAACACGUGGGUAACCUCCCAUCAGAGGGGAUAACACUUGGAAACAGGUGCUAAACCGAUACUGAUGGAUGGACCCGCGGUGCAUUAGCUAGUUGGUGAGGGAACGGCUCACCAAGGCCACGAUGCAUAGCCGACCUGAGAGGGGGAUAGGGAACACUGGGACGGAGACACGGCCCAGACUCCUGAGGGAGGCAGCAGGAGGGAAUCUUCGGCAAUGGACGAAAGUCUGACCGAGCAAGGCCGCGUGAGUGAAGAAGGUGGUCGGGUCGUAAAGCACUGUUGUUAGAGAAGCGGUAUCUGACCAGAAAGCCACGGCUAACUACGUGCCAGCAGCCGCGGUAAUAC